CCUACGGGAGGCAGCAGUGAGGAAUAUUGGUCAAUGGGCGCGAGUCUGAACCAGCCAAGUCGCGUGAAGGAUGACUGCCCUAUGGAUUGUAAACUUCUUUUAUAGGGGAGUAAAACGCGCCACGUGUGCCUUUCUGAUAGUACCCUAUGAAUAAGGCUCGGCUAACUCCGUGCCAGCAGCCGCGGUAAUACGGAGGAUUCGAGCGUUAUCCGGAUUUAUUGGGUUUAAAGGGAGCGUAGAUGGGUAGUUAAGUUAGGUGUGAAAUUUUGCGGAUUAACCGUAAAAUUGCGAUUGAUACUGGUAGUAUUGAGUACGCGGGAGGUAUGCGGAAUGCGUGGUGUAGCGGUGAAAUGCUUAGAUAUCACGCAGAACCCCGAUUGCGAAGGCAGCAUACUAAACCGUAACUGACACUGAUGCACGAAAGUGUGGGUAUCGAACAGGAUUAGAUACCCUAGUAGUC
RNAcentral lists this ribosomal RNA (460 nucleotides) under uncultured bacterium. Its description in RNAcentral is "partial 16S ribosomal RNA". It matches the Rfam family "Bacterial small subunit ribosomal RNA", at positions 338 to 795 of the family's 1533-position model. The record is from RNAcentral.